UGGGGAAUUUUGGACAAUGGGCGAAAGCCUGAUCCAGCAAUGCCGCGUGUGUGAAGAAGGCCUUCGGGUUGUAAAGCACUUUUGUCCGGAAAGAAAUGGCUCUGGUUAAUACCUGGGGUCGAUGACGGUACCGGAAGAAUAAGGACCGGCUAACUACGUGCCAGCAGCCGCGGUAAUACGUAGGGUCCAAGCGUUAAUCGGAAUUACUGGGCGUAAAGCGUGCGCAGGCGGUUGUGCAAGACCGAUGUGAAAUCCCCGAGCUUAACUCUGGAAUUGCAUUGGUGACUGCACGGCUAGAGUGUGUCAGAGGAGGGUAGAAUUCCACGUGUAGCAGUGAAAUGCGUAGAGAUGUGGAGGAAUACCGAUGGCGAAGGCAGCCCCCUGGGAUAACACUGACGCUCAUGCACGAAAGCGUGGGGAGCAAACAGG
This 429-nucleotide ribosomal RNA is filed under the name bacterium. Its description in RNAcentral is "partial 16S ribosomal RNA". It matches the Rfam family "Bacterial small subunit ribosomal RNA", at positions 355 to 776 of the family's 1533-position model. The record is from RNAcentral.